RNAcentral lists this ribosomal RNA (579 nucleotides) under Trichoderma psychrophilum. RNAcentral's name for it is "eukaryotic LSU rRNA". The stretch from base 200 to 353 matches the Rfam family "5.8S ribosomal RNA". Lineage: Eukaryota; Fungi; Ascomycota; Sordariomycetes; Hypocreales; Hypocreaceae. The record is from RNAcentral.
GGAGGGAUCAUUACCGAGUUUUCAACUCCCAAACCCCAUUGUGAACGUUACCACACCGUUGCCUCGGCGGGAUCGCCCCGGGCGCGUCGCAGCCCCGGACCCAGGCGCCCGCCGGAGGACCAGUAAACUCCAUUGUAUUUGUGUACCUUACUUCUGAGCUUUCUCGGCGCUCCCAGCGAGCGUUACGAAAAUGAAUCAAAACUUUCAACAACGGAUCUCUUGGUUCUGGCAUCGAUGAAGAACGCAGCGAAAUGCGAUAAGUAAUGUGAAUUGCAGAAUUCAGUGAAUCAUCGAAUCUUUGAACGCACAUUGCGCCCGCCAGUAUUCUGGCGGGCAUGCCUGUCCGAGCGUCAUUUCAACCCUCGAGCCCCCCCGGGGGCCCGGCGUUGGGGAUCGGCACCCCGCCCUCAAAAGCGGGAGCCGGCCCCGAAAUGCAGUGGCGGUCUCGCCGCAGCCUCUCCUGCGCAGUAGCUUGCACACUCGCACCGGGAGCGCGGCGCGGCCACGCCGUGAAACACACCAAACUUCUGAAAUGUUGACCUCGGAUCAGGUAGGAAUACCCGCUGAACUUAAGCAUAU